UUGAUGCAGUUAUUAAGCUUUCCAACAAAGAAAACCCAGGGACCAGAUGGAUUCAUAGCAUAGGUCUACCAAAUCUUUAAAGAAUGAAUACCAAUCCUUUUCAAAUUAUUCCACAAAAUGUAAUUGGUGGGAACACUACAAAAUUCAUUCUAGUAAAUCAGUUUAAUCUUGAUUAAAGAACCAAAGACACAUCAAGGACAGAAAAUUUCAGGGCAAUAUCCCUGAUGAACAUAGAUGCAAAAAUUCUGUUUUGACUUCCCCUGUACUGGGGAUCAAACCUAGGGCCACUUAACCACUGAGACAUGUCCCCAACCCUUCUAUUUUUUUAUUCUUUACUUUUUUUUUUUGAGACAGGGUCUAACUAAAUUAGAGAGACUGGCUUUGAAUUUUUUUUUAAUAUUUUAUUUUUUAGUUAUUGGCAGACAUAACAUCUUUGUUUGUAUGUGAUGCUGAGGAUCGAACCCGGGCCGCACGCAUGCCAGGCGAGCGUGCUACCGCUUGAGCCACAUCCCCAGCCCCUGGCUUUGAAUUCUUGAUCCUCCUUGCCUCAGGCUCCUGAGUCACUGAAAUUAUAGGCAUAUGCCAAUGCACCCAGCUUUGAUGCAAAAAUUCUUAAUAUUAGCAAACUGCAUUUAGAUAGUGCACCAUAAUCAAGUGUGUUUCACCCUAGGGAUACAAGAUUCAUUCAACAUAUGCAAAUCAAUAAAUGUAA
RNAcentral lists this long non-coding RNA (712 nucleotides) under Marmota monax (woodchuck). Lineage: Eukaryota; Metazoa; Chordata; Mammalia; Rodentia; Sciuridae. The record is from RNAcentral.